GAUGACUUUUGUGCUUGCACAGAAUGAUUAGUGGCGAACGGGUGAGUAACACGUGAGUAACCUGCCCCUGACUCUGGGAUAAGCCUGGGAAACUGGGUCUAAUACUGGAUAUGCACCGUAGACCGCAUGGUUUUUGGUGGAAAGAAUUUUGGUCAGGGAUGGACUCGCGGCCUAUCAGCUUGUUGGUGAGGUAAUGGCUCACCAAGGCGACGACGGGUAGCCGGCCUGAGAGGGUGACCGGCCACACUGGGACUGAGACACGGCCCAGACUCCUACGGGAGGCAGCAGUGGGGAAUAUUGCACAAUGGGCGAAAGCCUGAUGCAGCGACGCCGCGUGAGGGAUGACGGCCUUCGGGUUGUAAACCUCUUUCAGUAGGGAAGAAGCGAAAGUGACGGUACCUGCAGAAGAAGCGCCGGCUAACUACGUGCCAGCAGCCGCGGUAAUACGUAGGGCGCAAGCGUUAUCCGGAAUUAUUGGGCGUAAAGAGCUCGUAGGCGGUUUGUCGCGUCUGCCGUGAAAGUCCGAGGCUCAACUUCGGAUCUGCGGUGGGUACGGGCAGACUAGAGUGAUGUAGGGGAGACUGGAAUUCCUGGUGUAGCGGUGAAAUGCGCAGAUAUCAGGAGGAACACCGAUGGCGAAGGCAGGUCUCUGGGCAUCUACUGACGCUGAGGAGCGAAAGCAUGGGGAGCGAACAGGAUUAGAUACCCUGGUAGUCCAUGCCG
Molecule: ribosomal RNA, 723 nt
Filed under: Arthrobacter sp. B2343_1
Lineage: Bacteria; Bacillati; Actinomycetota; Actinomycetes; Micrococcales; Micrococcaceae
Description: bacterial SSU rRNA
Rfam family: Bacterial small subunit ribosomal RNA
Source: RNAcentral